Arachis stenosperma is the source of this 4129-nucleotide RNA transcript. It is a transcript of the gene named calcium-transporting ATPase 8, plasma membrane-type-like, with no coding region annotated. NCBI's taxonomy places the organism in Eukaryota, Viridiplantae, Streptophyta, Magnoliopsida, Fabales, Fabaceae. The record is from RefSeq and is a predicted model, not a curated record. The transcript has 34 exons.
GAUAGCUGGGUAGACUGAGAGUCAAUGUUUUGAGUUGGACUUUGAAUUUUGAAAUUCGAAUCAAUUAGUGAGUCUCAUUUCGAGAACAAAAGAAGAAAAAACUCUGCGUAUUUUCCAAAGAUAGGUUUUGCGCGUUAGAAAAAAUUAAAAAAAGGAUACGAUUCUUCUUCUGCUACAUUUUCUUUGAAAUCGCGUUCUGAUUAGGUGGUUACAGUUACAGUCACAAAGAAAAGUGUGUGUGUGUGUGAAGCGUUGUGUUGUGUUAUUGUAAUAGUGGCUGUUAUGGUUUGGUACGAAGCAAAGAGAUUGUUGUUGAAACUGUAUUGUUGAGAAAGUGUGAUUUGACGGUGCCAUCUCUCCUGCGACAGUUACUCCGAUGAGUUACGCGAAUGGCUCGCCGCACCGGCCGCCGCCUCCGGAUACUGACUUGGAGGCGGGGCCUCCAACAGCACGCUCCGGCGACUUCGACGACGGCGAUGUCUCUGAUCCGUUUGACAUCACCAGGACUAAGAACGCCUCGAUUGAGCGACUCAGACGUUGGAGGCAAGCAGCACUGGUGCUUAAUGCUUCUCGUCGAUUUCGUUACACCUUGGACUUGAAAAAACAAGAAGAGAAGACACAAAUAUUGAGAAAGAUUAGAGCUCAUGCACAAGCUAUUAGGGCAGCAUAUCUUUUCAAAGCAGCCGGGGAUGGUCAAGUGAUUGAAACCACAAAGCCUCCUGCGGCCUCUGCUGGUGAAUUUCCAAUUGGACAAGAGCAACUUGCUUCAGUUUCAAGGGAGCAUGAUACCGUUGCUCUUCAGCAAUAUGGAGGGGUUGCUGGGAUAUCAAAUUUGUUGAAAACCAAUUUAGAGAAGGGGAUUCAUGGUGAUGAUGCUGACUUGCUAAAACGAAGGAAUGCAUUUGGUUCCAAUGAUUAUCCUCGAAAGAAAGGAAGAAGUUUCUGGAUGUUUAUGUGGGAUGCUUGCAAGGAUCUGACCUUGAUUAUUUUAAUGGUAGCUGCAGCGGCUUCAUUGGCAUUGGGGAUAAAAUCUGAGGGUAUUGAGGAAGGAUGGUAUGAUGGGGGAAGCAUUGCUUUUGCAGUUAUUCUUGUCAUUGUUGUCACAGCUAUAAGUGACUAUAAGCAGUCUCUUCAGUUUCGGAACCUGAAUGAAGAGAAGAGAAAUAUCCAUUUGGAGGUUAUCAGAGGUGGUAGAAGGAUUGAAAUCUCUAUAUAUGAGAUUGUUGUUGGUGAUGUUAUACCCCUCAAUAUUGGUAACCAGGUCCCUGCUGAUGGAAUUUUGAUCACUGGUCACUCUCUUGCAAUUGAUGAAUCAAGUAUGACUGGGGAGAGCAAAAUUGUCCAUAAAGAUUCUAAGGACCCUUUUUUGAUGUCUGGGUGUAAAGUUGCAGAUGGCAGUGGUACUAUGCUGGUAACUGGUGUUGGCGUUAAUACUGAAUGGGGGCUUCUAAUGGCAAGCAUUUCAGAAGACACUGGUGAAGAAACACCUUUGCAGGUUCGCUUAAAUGGUGUAGCCACCUUCAUCGGUAUUGUUGGUCUCUCUGUUGCUGUUGUUGUUCUGAUUGUGCUACUGGCCAGAUUUUUCUCUGGCCAUACCAGAGAUGCAAGUGGCAAUGUUCAAUUUAAAGCAGGGAAGACUAAAGUUGGUGAUGCUAUUGACGGGGCAAUUAAGAUAGUAACUGUUGCGGUCACUAUUGUAGUGGUUGCAGUACCAGAAGGGCUCCCGUUAGCAGUUACCUUAACACUGGCGUACUCAAUGAGGAAAAUGAUGGCGGAUAAAGCUUUGGUGAGGAGGCUUUCCGCUUGUGAGACAAUGGGCUCUGCAACAACCAUUUGCAGUGAUAAGACUGGCACGUUGACCAUGAAUCAGAUGACUGUGGUUGAGGCUUAUGCUGGUGGGAAGAAGAAUAAUCCUCCUGGUAACAAGUCAGAGCUCUCUCCCAAGCUCCACUCUUUGCUCAUUGAAGGUGUUGCACAGAACACUAAUGGCAGUGUUUAUGUCCCUGAGGGUGGUAACGAUGUUGAGGUUUCCGGAUCACCAACAGAAAAGGCAAUUUUACAUUGGGGAUUAGAGAUUGGGAUGAACUUCGACUCUACUAGAUCGGAAUCAUCAAUUAUUCACGUUUUCCCUUUCAAUUCUGAGAAAAAACGAGGCGGAGUUGCAGUACAAACGGCUGACUCUGAAGUUCACAUACACUGGAAAGGUGCUGCCGAGAUUGUCCUAGCCUGCUGUACACGGUACAUUGAUGCAAAUGACCAGUUGGUAGACAUGGAUGAGGAAAAGAUGGUAUUUUUCAGAAAAGCUAUUGAAGACAUGGCUGCCGAGAGUUUACGUUGUGUUGCCAUUGCGUAUAGAACAUUUGAAAAGGAGAAUGUUCCAGCCACUGAAGAAGAACGGGCUCACUGGUCUUUACCAGAAGAUAAUCUUGUUUUGUUAGCUAUUGUUGGUCUGAAGGAUCCUUGUCGACCUGGAGUCAAAGAUUCAGUGGAGCUUUGCCAAAAAUCUGGGGUUAAGGUAAAAAUGGUCACUGGUGACAAUGUCAAAACUGCAAAAGCAAUUGCUGUGGAAUGUGGAAUACUUAGUUCCCCUGCUGAAGCUACAGAGCCAAUCAUCAUUGAAGGAAAAACUUUUCGUGCCAUGACAGAUGCACAGAGAGAUGAAAUAGCUGAAGCAAUAUCAGUUAUGGGACGGUCAUCUCCUAAUGACAAAUUAUUGCUUGUGCAAGCAUUGAGGAGGAAGGGACAUGUUGUGGCUGUAACUGGGGAUGGAACAAAUGAUGCUCCUGCACUACAUGAGGCUGAUAUAGGUCUUGCAAUGGGUAUUCAAGGAACUGAAGUUGCAAAAGAAAGCUCUGAUAUUAUUAUUUUGGAUGACAAUUUUGCUUCAGUUGUAAAGGUUGUGAGAUGGGGACGUUCUGUGUAUGCAAAUAUUCAGAAAUUUAUCCAGUUUCAGCUUACAGUAAAUGUAGCUGCUCUUGUUAUAAAUGUUGUUGCUGCUGUUUCCUCUGGUGAUGUCCCACUGAAUGCAGUGCAGCUUUUGUGGGUAAAUCUUAUCAUGGAUACUUUGGGAGCACUAGCAUUGGCAACUGAACCACCAACUGAUCACCUUAUGGAUCGGCCUCCAGUGGGCCGAAGAGAACCUCUCAUAACAAAUAUUAUGUGGAGAAAUUUGCUGAUACAGGCAAUGUACCAAGUAUCUGUGUUGCUUGUUCUGAAUUUCCGAGGUAGGAGCAUACUGGGUCUGACACAUGACAAAUAUGAUCAUGCAAUUAAAGUGAAAAACACACUGAUCUUCAAUGCAUUUGUUCUGUCUCAAAUCUUUAAUGAGUUCAAUGCACGAAAGCCAGAUGAGUUUAACAUAUUCAGUGGAGUCACGAAAAACUACCUCUUCAUGGGUAUAGUGGGAUUAACUGUUGUGCUUCAGAUCAUCAUCAUUGAAUUCCUCGGCAAGUUCACUUCAACAGUCAGGCUUAAUUGGAAGCAGUGGCUGAUCUCUGUCAUCAUUGGGUUCAUAAGUUGGCCUCUUGCUGUGGUUGGUAAAUUGAUACCAGUUCCAGAUACUCCCAUCAACAACGUAUUUUCAAGAUUUCGGGGUCGAAGAAAGGAACCUGAGGCCUCACAAUAGCAACAUAUAGGCGUGCUGUUUUAAAGACGGAUCGUUCUCUUAUUGGACGAUGUACAUGCUUGGUCGUUCGUACUUGUUUUUCUUUUUUGGUUGCCCACGAUAUCUUCCAACCCGACAGGUCAAGAAGUAAUCCGUCGCGGAUCUGAGCUCCAUUUAAGGAUCUGUCGCUGGUCAAUGGGUUGCUGCAUGCAUAGGCGGGAUUCUAACUUCCGACACUUGCUGAAGCGGAUGAAUGAGCUGGCCACUCGACCAACCCAAGUUGGUUAGGUUAUUCGUACUUGUUAUUGCACGGUUCUAGUGCUUUCAGUAUCUUGCAUUGUUGUUGCGUUCACGAGUAUGGCCCAAUUUGUGACAUUAUAACAUGGCAAAAUUAUCAGUUGGUUUAAUAUAUAAACAUCAUAAAUUUUCACUCCAAUUCCAUAAGAUGAAGAUAUGUAUAUACGCAAAACUUGAUUCUGAUCUAUUGCCACAACGUAUAAUCAUCAAUUUUCUGGAACAUGUUAU